UCAUGUGACCCCCUGAACGUGCCCAAUCUUGUCUGAUCUUGGAAGCUAAGCAGGGUCAGGCCUGGUUAGUAUGUGGAUGGGAGACCUCCUAGGAAUAGCAGGUGCUGUAGGCU
RNAcentral lists this ribosomal RNA (113 nucleotides) under Callithrix jacchus (white-tufted-ear marmoset). Lineage: Eukaryota; Metazoa; Chordata; Mammalia; Primates; Cebidae. The record is from RNAcentral.